GUAGGUGGGGUAACGGCUCACCUAGGCGACGAUCCCUAGCUGGUCUGAGAGGAUGACCAGCCACACUGGAACUGAGACACGGUCCAGACUCCUACGGGAGGCAGCAGUGGGGAAUAUUGCACAAUGGGCGCAAGCCUGAUGCAGCCAUGCCGCGUGUAUGAAGAAGGCCUUCGGGUUGUAAAGUACUUUCAGCGGGGAGGAAGGGAGUAAAGUUAAUACCUUUGCUCAUUGACGUUACCCGCAGAAGAAGCACCGGCUAACUCCGUGCCAGCAGCCGCGGUAAUACGGAGGGUGCAAGCGUUAAUCGGAAUUACUGGGCGUAAAGCGCACGCAGGCGGUUUGUUAAGUCAGA
Molecule: ribosomal RNA, 352 nt
Filed under: Shigella flexneri
Lineage: Bacteria; Pseudomonadati; Pseudomonadota; Gammaproteobacteria; Enterobacterales; Enterobacteriaceae
Description: bacterial SSU rRNA
Rfam family: Bacterial small subunit ribosomal RNA
Source: RNAcentral